This 66-nucleotide transfer RNA is filed under the name Tropidophorus hangnam. RNAcentral's name for it is "tRNA-Ser". The record is from RNAcentral. Lineage: Eukaryota; Metazoa; Chordata; Lepidosauria; Squamata; Scincidae.
AAAGGGUGUAUGAACACAAAGAACCGCUAAUUCCAUGCCCUGGGGUUUAAUUCCCCAGACCCUUUA